Molecule: ribosomal RNA, 253 nt
Filed under: uncultured bacterium
Lineage: Bacteria
Description: partial 16S ribosomal RNA
Rfam family: Bacterial small subunit ribosomal RNA
Source: RNAcentral
UACGUAGGGGGCAAGCGUUGUCCGGAAUCAUUGGGCGUAAAGCGCGCGUAGGCGGCCCGGUAAGUCCGCUGUAAAAGUCAGAGGCUCAACCUUUGAAUGUCAGUGGAUACUGCCGGGCUAGAGUCCGGAAGAGGCGAGUGGAAUUCCUGGUGUAGCGGUGAAAUGCGUAGAUAUCAGGAGGAACACCUGCGGUGUAGACGGCUUUCUGGACCAUUGCUGACGCUGAGACACGAAAGCGUGGGUAGCAAACAGG